Molecule: antisense RNA, 75 nt
Filed under: Frankia canadensis
Lineage: Bacteria; Bacillati; Actinomycetota; Actinomycetes; Frankiales; Frankiaceae
Description: ASpks TB sRNA
Rfam family: ASpks TB sRNA
Source: Rfam by way of RNAcentral
CUUGAUCGAGCCGAGCCGCAGCGGCGCGUCGUCCGGUCGGCCCUGUCCGUAGGUGGCGAGCAGGGCCUGGGCCUC